UCCAGUUAAUGUUCGACGAGAAGAAGUAUGACGUCAGCGAGUUGGACGAGUCAGUCAACGAGUUGGACUUCCCGUGUUUGACUCGUCCUUAUCCCGUGAAAUGUCUUCCUUAUCUCUUCACCUCUAAGCAGUGGCUUCCCUUCUUUUUUGACCAAGCGAGAAACUUCCGAAAGAUGAAGGGUAUUUUAGUAAAUACCGUUGCUGAGCUGGAGCCUCACUCUUUGAAAAUAUUCUCCCGCGGCGGUUAUGGUGGUGACGACCUUCCUCAAGCGUAUCCAGUGGGACCACUGUUGCAUCUCCAAAACGACGUCGUAGAAGGGAAGCAAUCGGAGGUUUUACGGUGGCUCGACGAGCAACCGGCGAGAUCCGUCGUGUUCCUCUGUUUCGGGAGCAUGGGAGGUUUCAACGAGGAGCAAACGAGAGAAAUCGCCGUCGCGUUGGAACGAAGCGGCUACCGGUUUCUCUGGUCUCUCCGCCGCGGAUCGCCGGAUAUACUGACGGAGCCUCCCGGAGAUUACGCGGAUCUGGAGGAAGUUUUACCGGAGGGAUUCUCGGAUCGGACGUCGGAGAGAGGGAAGGUGAUCGGAUGGGCUCCGCAAGUGGCGGUGCUGGCUAAGCCGGCGAUCGGGAGCUUCGUGACCCACUGUGGAUGGAACUCGAUGCUUGAGAGCUUGUGGUUCGGCGUUCCGAUGGUGACGUGGCCGCUCUACGCGGAGCAGAAGAUCAACGCGUUCGAGAUGGUGGAGGAGCUUGGACUGGCGGUGGAGAUACGGAGGUUCUUUANNNNNNNNNNNNNNNNNNNNNNNNNNNNNNNNNNNNNNNNNNNNNNNNNNNNNNNNNNNNNNNNNNNNNNNNNNNNNNNNNNNNNNNNNNNNNNNNNNNNNNNNNNNNNNNNNNNNNNNNNNNNNNNNNNNNNNNNNNNNNNNNNNNNNNNNNNNNNNNNNNNNNNNNNNNNNNNNNNNNNNNNNNNNNNNNNNNNNNNNNNNNNNNNNNNNNNNNNNNNNNNGGUAUCCAGGGUGGUUUCUGAGUGGUUAAUCCACAAAGGCGCGUCCAAGGUGUAGGAUUCGUUGUGUGUCGGCUCCUCCGCUUUGACGAUGGCGCGUGUUGUUCAAUGCACGGUGUCGGUGAUGAGUCGUCUAUGGCUAUGUUAUCCUGCCGUGACAGAGAUGCUUCCGCCUUGAUCUUCUCCGGUCAUGGCUCUCCCGUCACACUCUCACGGUUGAUUCUUUCGCGGAGGCUCACCGUUUCUGAGUUGUACUUUAGUCACGUCUUAUGGAGUUAUAGCUUUGCUCGUGCAAGCUUAUCUCCUGUCUGGAUCGAUCUUGUCACUGGUUCUCAGUGACGGUUCCUGAGGAGACCUGUUCUAUACUGGUGUGUCAUUCGGUUUGGUCUGGUCUCGGUGGCCUGAGGAGUAGUUUCCAACAUCCCAGCACUAGAGUGAGUCUCUGGUGGUUGCGGACUGCUCGGUCCCGGUGUGUCAAAGUGCUACGUUUCGUGGAGUAGCUGCCGCUAUUCAACCCGCUUUCCCUUUUGCUCUUGGUAGUGACGGGUUCGGUUACCCGGUCACUUUUCGGAUCUUUGGUUGUAUUGUCUUAGGAAUUCGCUGGGUUCGUGUCGUGAAGCGUCGUCGGUUUCUGCUGGGUUCGUGCUAAGGAUGGGUGUCGUCAGUCUCUGUUGAGUUCGUGUGGCGAGUCUUUCCGGUCUUUCGGUUUGUAUUCAAAGCGUCGUCGGGAGUUUAGGGUUCGUACCUUGAAGCGUCGUCGGGAGACUAGGGUUCGUGCUAAAUGGCGUGGUCGGUUUUCCUACCCGCCUUGGCGGAAGUUAGAUCAGAAAUUGUAGUUUUAAAAUUUGUUUCAGAUUUUAAUUCUACCGAUCUGUUCCAUAAGUCUUUUUACACUUUUUUUGGGGGCUUAUGCAACUUUGUAGUUUCAUUUUAACUAAUGAAUAUUUACCAUUUAGCAAAAAAAAAGAAAAAUAGUUAGCUAUCAGCAUAUGAUCGUUUCGGUUAACAACACUCGUACAUAUGUGCUCAAUUUUUAAAGACGAACUCUACAUCAUCAAUUGGGAUUGCCAAUCGAUAGGUUAGUGACAACUUUGAUUAUUACAUGCCAAUGGAAAAUUGCAGGGUAUUAUAUGCUUGGUGUUUUGGUUAACGUACACUAAUAACAUCAACAAUACUUUAUCUCUUACUCGUAUUGUUUGAUAUAUAUACUUUUAAGCGUUACACAUAAUAUUAUCUGUUAAGUUUGUAAUAUCAAGGGUAUAAAUUAUCAAUUUUCAUUUCAUGUAUUAGAAAGGGGUUAUUAUUAUUAGCAGCUACCUGGCAUCGUACAUGUUACUUCGGGUAGAAGCAGCCAUAAAUACGCUUACCUCCAACCGAUAACAUCAACAAUGCUUUAUCUCUCAAUCGUAUUGUUUGAUAUAUACUUUUAACCUAAGCGUUAAAAAUAAUAUCAUCAGUUAAGUUUGUACUUAGUUACUAAUAUCAAGGGUAUAAUUUACUAAACUUCAUUUUUCAUGUAUUAGAAAGAGGUGAUUAUUAGUAGCAGCUACCAUACAUCGUACAUGUUACUUCAGCCAUAAGCCUCCACAAAUACAAUUACCCCCUACCAACUUUACUUUAAAGAUAGUCUAGACUAUUAGAAAAAAAUGAAUGUUAAUAACACAAACAAAAUUAGAUAGAUAGUAGAGAUUUUGAAACAUUGCUAACUGGUUACUCCGCAAAAAAGGAACCAGAUCUCGUAUUUUCUCUUCACUAUGAGCAUACAGACCACGACGAACUGGCCAAAACACCCAGAAGAUGAAGCAUUUUUGGCUUGAGAUAUGAUCUUCCGUCCGAAUCUAGAGCGUCGGAUUAACCCUAUAGCGGCGGAUUCUUCACCGACAGCAAACAUGCGUUUCGGCAGCUGCAAAUACUCCAUAUCGCAGACGGAUAAACUUCCAAUACCACUCCGGGGAAGAUAAAUAGAUAUUUCUUUGGUUUAUGAAAGUAGACAACUGAAAGGGAGUGACUUUUCACUGAACAAAUAAACUUAAAAAACUGUAAUUGAUGCCUUUCUAUUUGCCCUCGACAUCUUUAACUAGUACUAGUGUAGUACAUAUAAUGGCGUGUAAUAAGUGGUUCCCUAUAUACUAGACUCUGACACAAUCUAUUAGAGCAAGAUAGCGUGGCCUUAGGUAUGUAGGGGUCGUUUCGUACUAAAAAAAAUCUAACAGUGCUUUCCACUUUCAACUUUCUCUGUGUAUAUACCACCUAAUUUCUCUAAUUUUUAUGCGCUUUUCCCUAUAUUUAUGUAUAUAGUUAUACUAUUAUAGUCUAAAUGGUAAUCACAAUAGCUUCAGCUUUUGAAGUAUUUGGAUUUAGUAUUGAAUAAUAUUGCACUAUUAGAGUUAAACAAGUUAUUUAAAUUUUGAAUUUCAUUACGAACUUUGAAUAAUGAGAAAAAUAGUACAUGCAUGUUUAUGAAUUAAGUGAGAAAAAUAGUAUAUGCAUGUUUUAUGAAUUAAACGUUGUUUGAUCCUACUGUCAUGAACGCUUGAUCAUUUAGCAUUUUGUUUGGUCUUAAUUUAUACAAAUAGACUAGAGUGGAAUGAUACUGAUGAAGGCCACAGUAAUCUACAGCUUUAAUUCAAUCUAAUGCACCUUUGAUCACUAUCUCAAGAACUUCAUCAUUUUCAAAGCCCAAUAGCAAAAACAAACAUUGCUAGAGUCUGUAAUUUUGUCCAGCCUUACUAUAGUAUGUAACUGUGCUACGCCUUCUUAACACUCAUGGCAUCAAAUAUAUAAUAAACUUGGUAAAAUAGCGCUUCAGUGUGUGUAACAAAUUCAGAUCAUUGAUCAAUAAACCUCACUGAAAUCCGCUAAGAUUAUUGUUUUAUCAUCAUAAGCUUUUAAAUUAGCUAUUUAAAGCCAAGACAAGAACAAGAAUAACAAUUAAAAUAUAUAAUCGAUCAAAAGACUAAAUAUAUAAGAUAAAAGGGUAUACUCAGACAGCCAAGGGUUACUCUUCAACUUCUGGGUGAAGUGCCCAGAUCUGAAACUCUAGUCCACAACAUAAUUGUAUCAUCACCAUAUACCAUUCAACAUUCAAUCAACACAAAAAUUCUCAAGCUCUAUUAAAAUAGAGAUACAAGCAAGACCAGAGCUUGAAAGAAUGAGAUUAACAGAAAAGAAACCAGUUACCAUAAUGGUCUCACAUUAAUAUCUGAAUUACAAUAAUGGCACCAACCACAGCCUCGACAGAAACUCGUUCAGGAGUUAAAAAAGGUUAAGAUGUUUGGGAUGUCACAUACAAAGGAACAUUAAAAAUACAAUAUGCGAGGCAUUUCCAGGAUCAAAAGGCACUGAGAAAAAGCAAGAUGAUCAGGAUAUACCACAAAACUAUUGCGUCACAAGCCAUUAUACCUGAAGAAACUGUAUUUAUCCCUCAGAAUUGGUAAUGGACGCCAACAAAAAAAAAGAAAAAAACACUGAAAGUUUAAUAUGCUCAGUGGAAGGAGAAGUCGUUUAAUUAGGAAAGCUCACGGCAAGAACAAACCCUUUUCAGAAUUUGUAAUUGUCCACUGCUCUUCUUACACUCUUCGUGCUUUUAUCACAUCAUAGCAUCAAAACAUAAACCUCAUAUUAAAAAGCCUCAGUGUGUGUAACAAAUUCAGAUCAUUGAUCAAUUAACCUCACUGAAAUCCGCUAAGAUAUUUGUUUUUAUCAUCAUAAGCUUUUUACAGAGGCCCACACAGAACAUAAAACAAAAAGAUUGUCUUUUUAAGAUCAAUUACAAAAUUAUAUUUUAUAAGUACCGGUGUAAAAGGGAAUACUCAGACAGCCAAGGGUUACUCUUCAACUUCUGGGUGAAGUGCCCAGAUCUGAAACUCUAGUCCACAACAUUAUUGUAACAUCACCAUAUACCCUUUCACAAAAACAUAAGACAAAAAAAAUGAAAAAAAUCAGAGAAACAAGAAGAGAGAAAGCUCAUAUGAUUUGCAGAAGACAAAAAGCAGAUAAAUAUACACAACCAAAAACUGAGAAAUAGGGCUCCCUUCGGCGGCGGCUGUAAUUUAUUUUAGCCUUUUCUUGGCCCAUUUAGUUUCAUUGCGCCAGUCUUUCGUGACCCAACAAACAACUUAAAUCACUGUAUAAGCGCGCGCACAAGACCUUUCCUUACCAUUUCUGGCUAAACCAGUCAACGCUGAAAAAGACAAAUCCCAAAAAAGGAAAGAAAAUAUAAAACAAAUAAAAUGAAAAUCGAACUUGUGUUCAUACCCGCGGCGGAAAUUGGUCAUCUCCGGUCAACCGUCGAGUUAGCCAAGAAACUCCUCAACGAAGAUGAUCGUCUCUCAAUCACCGUACUCAUCAUCCCUCGCCCUUCCGCCGAUGAUUCCGACCAUGUUACACCCCUCUUCACGCCGUCUCAAGACCGCCUCCGCCACGUCACCAUCUCCGCCGCAGAUCAACCACCCGACGUUCCUCUCGAUCCUCAAGCCUACAUGGACAACCAAAAGCCGAAAGUGAGAGACGCAGUCUCCAAACUCCUCGACUCGCCGCCGCGGCUCGCCGGAUUAGUCGUCGACAUGUUCUGCACGUCGAUGAUAGAAGUAGCUGAAGAAUUCAAAGUUCCCACAUAUAUGAUGUACACGUCAAACGCUGCGUUUCUCGGAAUCACGCUUCAUCUCCAGUUAAUGUUCGACGAGAAGAAGUAUGACGUCAGCGAGUUGGACGAGUCAGUCAACGAGUUGGACUUCCCGUGUUUGACUCGUCCUUAUCCCGUGAAAUGUCUUCCUUAUCUCUUCACCUCUAAGCAGUGGCUUCCCUUCUUUUUUGACCAAGCGAGAAACUUCCGAAAGAUGAAGGGUAUUUUAGUAAAUACCGUUGCUGAGCUGGAGCCUCACUCUUUGAAAAUAUUCUCCCGC
Molecule: long non-coding RNA, 5907 nt
Filed under: Brassica napus (rape)
Lineage: Eukaryota; Viridiplantae; Streptophyta; Magnoliopsida; Brassicales; Brassicaceae
Description: long non-coding RNA (BNAP_LNC002860)
Source: RNAcentral